GAUGAACGCUGGCGGCGUGCCUAAUACAUGCAAGUAGAACGCUGAAGCUUGGUGCUUGCACCGAGCGGAUGAGUUGCGAACGGGUGAGUAACGCGUAGGUAACCUGCCUCUUAGCGGGGGAUAACUAUUGGAAACGAUAGCUAAUACCGCAUAAAAGUCGAUAUCGCAUGAUAUUGAUUUGAAAGGUGCAAAUGCAUCACUAAGAGAUGGACCUGCGUUGUAUUAGCUAGUUGGUGAGGUAACGGCUCACCAAGGCGACGAUACAUAGCCGACCUGAGAGGGUGAUCGGCCACACUGGGACUGGGACACGGCCCAGACUCCUACGGGAGGCAGCAGUAGGGAAUCUUCGGCAAUGGGGGCAACCCUGACCGAGCAACGCCGCGUGAGUGAAGAAGGUUUUCGGAUCGUAAAGCUCUGUUGUAAGAGAAGAACGAGUGUGAGAGUGGAAAGUUCACACUGUGACGGUAACUGACCAGAAAGGUACGGCUAACUACGUG
Molecule: ribosomal RNA, 497 nt
Filed under: uncultured bacterium
Lineage: Bacteria
Description: partial 16S ribosomal RNA
Rfam family: Bacterial small subunit ribosomal RNA
Source: RNAcentral